UGCGCAGGCGGGGCAAUAAGUCAGUGGUGAAAUCCUGCGGCUUAACCGUAGAACUGCCACUGAUACUGUUGCCCUUGAGUAUAGUUGAGGUGGGCGGAAUAUGUAAUGUAGCGGUGAAAUGCAUAGAUAUUACAUAGAACACCGAUUGCGAAGGCAGCUCACUAAGCUAUCACUGACGCUGAGGCACGAAAGCGUGGGGAGCGAACAGGAUUAGAUACCCUGGUAGUC
This 228-nucleotide ribosomal RNA is filed under the name uncultured bacterium. RNAcentral's name for it is "partial 16S ribosomal RNA". It matches the Rfam family "Bacterial small subunit ribosomal RNA", at positions 568 to 795 of the family's 1533-position model. The record is from RNAcentral.